AGUACACGUUUCUGGAACCAAG
Molecule: microRNA, 22 nt
Filed under: Drosophila sechellia
Lineage: Eukaryota; Metazoa; Arthropoda; Insecta; Diptera; Drosophilidae
Description: dse-miR-992-3p
Gene: dse-miR-992-3p
Source: miRBase by way of RNAcentral